AGUGAACGCUGGCGGUAGGCCUAACACAUGCAAGUCGAACGGCAGCACAGUAAGAGCUUGCUUUUACGGGUGGCGAGUGGCGGACGGUUGAGGAAUACAUCGGAAUCUACUUUUUCGUGGGGGAUAACGUAGGUAAACUUACGCUAAUAUCGCAUACGACCUACGGGUGAAAGCAGGGGAUCUUCGGACCUUGCGCGAUUGAAUGAGCCGAUGUCGGAUUAGCUAGUUGGCCGGGUAAAGGCCCACGAAGGCAACGAUCCGUAGCUGGUCUGAAAGGAUGAUCGGCCAUCCUGUAACUGAGCAGCGGUCCAGACUCCUACAGGAGCAAGCAGUGCGGAAUAUUGGACAAUGGGCGCAGACCUGAUCCAGCCAUACCGAGUGGGUGGAAAAGCCCUUCGGGUUGUAAAGCCCGUUUCUUGGGAAAGAAAAGCAGCAGCUUAAUAACCCGCUGUUCUGUCGGUACCCAAAGAAUAAGCACCGGCUACCUUCGUG
RNAcentral lists this ribosomal RNA (492 nucleotides) under uncultured bacterium. RNAcentral's name for it is "partial 16S ribosomal RNA". It matches the Rfam family "Bacterial small subunit ribosomal RNA", at positions 29 to 507 of the family's 1533-position model. The record is from RNAcentral.